UGGAAAUCCAGAUAGAGCUCGCUCAGCUCUAUAUGCAUGCAUGGUCUCAAGAGUCAGAGCUCAGCGUCAUCUAUUCCCUUCACCUUCUCCUUGGCCGUCUCUGCGGCGUCCCGCGUGGCCCUCGCCGUGGCCGCCGCCGCCUGCUCCACCGUCUCCUUGCCCAUCUCGAAGCUCUUCUUAGCGGCGUCCCCCAGAGAGCCGACGGCACCAUCGUCGUCGUACCUUGGCACAACACAAAGGACGCACGCGGCGACCACGUCACACAACUACACAAGCAACGUACGCAGCAUGCAUGCAAGAAAUAAACCGAGAGACCAGCCAGCUAGUUCACAGUUCACACAUGGCAUACCGUGGCUCGUCGGAGCAGCGCGGCC
This 374-nucleotide unclassified non-coding RNA is filed under the name Zea mays. RNAcentral describes it as "misc RNA Zm00001eb442950". The record is from RNAcentral. Lineage: Eukaryota; Viridiplantae; Streptophyta; Magnoliopsida; Poales; Poaceae.